AUGGCUGACUGGCUGACUGGAUGGCUGACUGGCUGACUGGAUGGCUGACUGGCUGACUGACCGGCUGACCAGUUUAAAUUCCAGUCAAUUCAGGAAGUAAAACAAACUCCCAAUUCCAAAUGUUCCUCAUUGAAAAGCAUUGAAGAGAAUUGGAAUUUCAGUACUUCCUGCAUUGACUAGAACUGAAAUGGAAUUGACCCCAACCCUGGCUUACUGUAUACAGAAAGUGGACCAAGCCUCUCAACUCUAACUGCUGCUUCCUAAGCCGUGACCUCUCAACUCUAACAGCUGCUUCCUAAGCCGUGACCUCUCAACUCUAACAGCUGCUUCCUAAGCCGUGACCUCUCAACUCUAACAGCUGGUUCCUAAGCCGUGACCUCUCAACUCUAACAGCUGCUUCCUAAGCCGUGACCUCUCAACUCUAACAGCUGGUUCCUAAGCCGUGACCUCUCAACUCUAACAGCUGCUUCCUAAGCCGUGACCUCUCAACUCUAACAGCUGCUUCCUAAGCCGUGACCUCUCAACUCUAACAGCUGGUUCCUAAGCCGUGACCUCUCAACUCUAACAGCUGCUUCCUAAGCCGUGACCUCUCAACUCUAACAGCUGCUUCCUAAGCCGUGACCUCUCAACUCUAACAGCUGCUUCCUAAGCCGUUCAUACUAUAGCAUAUAUAGUAAGUGUCCAUUAUGAGUUAGCUGAAUGCCCUGCCGGCCGAGAGGAAUCCAUUUUCAUCACAUCUCUUCUCUAUAAGGAGAGAUGGGGGGGUUCUCUAAUGCUGAGGAUGCGUCAUAAAUAGCACCCUAUUCUCUAUAUAGUGCACAACUUUUGGCCAGAGCUCUAUGGGCCCUUGUCAAACGUAGUGCACUAUAAAGGGAAUUAGGGUGCCAUUUGGGACGGAGCCACAGAUGAACAGCAACUCCCCAGAUCCCACAGCAAACACACAGCCUGCUCUAUGUACAAACACACAGCCUGCUCUAUGUACAAACACACAGCCUGCUCUAUGUACAAACACACAGCCUGCUCUAUGUACAAACACACAGCCUGCUCUAUGUACAAACACACAGCCUGCUCUAUGUACAAACAUCACCGUUAGAGAUAAACACACAGCCUGCUCUAUGUACAAACACACAGCCUGCUCUAUGUACAAACACACAGCCUGCUCUAUGUACAAACACACAGCCUGCUCUAUGUACAAACAUCACCGUUAGAGAUAAACACACAGCCUGCUCUAUGUACAAACACACAGCCUGCUCUAUGUACAAACAUCACCGUUAGAGAUAAACACACAGCCUGCUCUAUGUACAAACACACAGCCUGCUCUAUGUACAAACACACAGCCUGCUCUAUGUACAAACAUCACCGUUAGAGAUAAACACACAGCCUGCUCUAUGUACAAACACACAGCCUGCUCUAUGUACAAACACACAGCCUGCUCUAUGUACAAACAUCACCGUUAGAGAUAAACACACAGCCUGCUCUAUGUACAAACAUGCAGCCUGCUCUAUGUACAAACAACACCGUUAGAGAUAAACACACAUCACGGUCCUCCUAACUAUCUAAUUAUGUGUGUUGUUGAAACAGGAUGUGCUGUAUAUACAGUUGAAGUCGGAAGUUUACAUACAUACAUAGCCAAAAUAACAUUUCAACUCAGUUUUACACAAUUCCUGACAUUUAAAUCCUAGUAAGAAUUCCCUGUCUUAGGUCAGUUGGGAUCACCACUUUAUUUUAAGAAUGUGAAAUGUCAGAAUAACAGUAGAGAGAAUAAUUUAUUUCAGCUUGUAUUUAUUUCAUCACAUUCCCAGUGGGUCAGAAGUUUACAUAUACUCAAUUAGUAUUUGGUAGCAUUGCCUUUAAAUGGUUUAACUUGGUUCAAAUGUUUGAAAUGUCUAGAGCCAUGACAUCAUUUUCUGGAAUUUUCCAAGCUGUUUAAAGGCACAGUCAACUUAGUGUAUGUAAACUUCUGACCCACUGGAAUUGUGAUACAGUGAGUUAUAAGUGAAAUAAUCUGUCUGUCAACAAUUGUUGGGAAAAGUACUUGUGUCAAGCACAAAGUAGAUUGCCUAACCGACUUGCCAAAACUACAGUUUGUUUUAACAAGAAAUGUGUGAAGUGGUUGAAAAACGAGUUUUAAUGACUCCAACCUAAGUGUAUGUAAACUUCCCACUUCAACUGUAUUCAAACCUUUUGAAGUUAUAAUAUUGCAUUAAUUUGGACUGCCAAUGAGUUGUCAUGGUGAUUCUGAGGCCUUAACUAAAGGAGAUUGAAGUUCUAUAGCCAUCUGUCCAAUACCUCGCUCAGUCAUAAUACAAUGAUAUACUUCUUCAAGCCAAGUAGAAUAAUACCUUAUCUUAUUCAUAAUACAAUGAUAUACUUCUUCAAGCCAAGUAGAAUAAUACCUUAUCUUAUUCAUAAUACAAUGAUAUACUUCUUCAAGCCAAGUAGAAUAAUACCUUAUCUUAUUCAUAAUACAAUGAUUUACUUCUUUAAGCCAAGUACGAUGCUUUUCUGACUUGACGCACAUCCCAGUUCACCUGUAUUCAUUUAGAGAGUAUACCAGUAAUUCACAUUACAGUUCACCUAUAUUCAUUUAGAGAGUAUACCAGUAAUUCACAUCCCAGUUCACUCUAUUAAUUUAGAGAGUUUACCAGUAAUUCAGUUCCAUACACAAAGGUUAACAGAUACUCUUUCAGCGAUCGGUAUAAACAUCUCUGUCAUUUCCCUUAAAAUAAACUGGUUCAUCCGUUGGCUGGAGGCCACGGUGGGAAUCAAAUCAACGGGUACAAACCUGGAGAAGAGCUGUUAGAUCUAUUACCCCUAGGUGUGUGUGCUGUUUUUUGGGGGGGGGGUUUACCAAUAAGUAAAUAAGUAUUUUCUGAACUGCAGUGGUUUAAAGUACUUAAGUAAAAAAUUAAAUAAAAUUUUUUGGGGGUAUCUGUACUUUACUAUUUAUAUUUUUGACAACUUUUAUUUUUACCUCACUUACAUUCCAAAUGAAAAUAAUGUACAUUUUAUUCUCAUAUAUUUCCCCCUGACACCCAAAAGUACUCGUUACAUUUAGCAUUCUCAAGCAGGACAGCAGUAUGGUCCCAUUCACACACUUAUCAAGAGCAGGUGUUGUCAUCCCCACUGCCUCUGAAGGCUCUACGGUCAUCACCAGGGCCUAACCAAGGUAGAGAGGGGGUCUGAACCCAUGCUGAAGGCUCUACGGUCAUCACCAAGCCCUAACCAAGGUAGAGAGGGGGUCUGAACUCAUGCUGAAGGCUCUACGGUCAUCACCAGGGCCUAACCAAGGUAGAGAGGGGGUCUGAACCCAUGCUGAAGGCUCUACGGUCAUCACCAAGCCCUAACCAAGGUAGAGAGGGGGUCUGAACCCAUGCUGAAGGCUCUACGGUCAUCACCAAGCCCUAACCAAGGUAGAGAGGGGGUCUGAACCCAUGCUGAAGGCUCUACGGUCAUCACCAGGCCCUAACCAAGGUAGAGAGGGGGUCUGAACUCAUGCUGAAGGCUCUACGGUCAUCACCAGGCCCUAACCAAGGUAGAGAGGGGGUCUGAACUCAUGCUGAAGGCUCUACGGUCAUCACCAGGCUCUAACCAAGGUAGAGAGGGGGUCUGAACCCAUGCUGAAGGCUCUACGGUCAUCACCAGGCCCUAACCAAGGUAGAGAGGGGGUCUGAACUCAUGCUGAAGGCUCUACGGUCAUCACCAGGCCCUAACCAAGGUAGAGAGGGGGUCUGAACUCAUGCUGAAGGCUCUACGGUCAUCACCAGGCUCUAACCAAGGUAGAGAGGGGUUCUGAACUCAUGCUGAAGGCUCUACGGUCAUCACCAGGCUCUAACCAAGGUAGAGAGGGGGUCUGAACUCAUGCUGAAGGCUCUACGGUCACCACAACACCAAUACUAGUGUUUUAAUCCACAAUGGGGAGUUGUCACACAUUGUUUAAAUACAUUGUUUUUACAUUAACACCAUAUCAAGGAACUACCAGAUGGCUCGAUCAGGUUGAUUGAUAUACCGGUAGCUUCAUCGUGCCCCCCUCCCUUUGUUUAUUAAAGCUUUGCCAUUUAAACAAUUAUUGAUAUAAACGAGAACAUGAGGUGAAAGGAACGGCUUGAGGGGACAGGAAGAAGUGUUUGUCGUGUUUGUUGUGUCCACUCUUCCAUUUUAUUUGUGUUGUCAACAACACUCACUUUCUUCUUUUUCGUUUUGUUGUUGCCAAGUGCCUUUGGCUACAAUCCAUGCCUGUAGCACAGUGUUGCCUGUAGCACAGUGUUGCCUGUAGCACAGUGUUGCCUGUAGCACAGUGUUGCCUGUAGCACAGUGUUGCUUGUAAUGUGUCACUGUUGUCUGUUUCAACUCUCCAUCAAAGUAACAAUAACGCUCAUUAGUGUGGUGAAUGUGUGCCAAAUGGCACCCUAUUCCCUAUGUUGUGCACUACUUUUGGACUAGAUCUCUAAGGGUCCUGGUCAGAAGUAGUGGACAGAGGGCAUAGGAUGCCAUUUGAGACGUAGAACCUCUUGUGUCAUCACCGGUAGUGUCGUACAUGUCCACACCUGUUAUUAUAACCACUCUGAAAUAUCAUGAGUGAUACAGACAGAGGAGGCUGGUGAUGGGAGGACGGCUCGUAGUGAAACGGAAACCGCGUGUUGGAUGUGUUUGAUACCCGAUCCAUUUCAUCCCGGUUCCAGACGUUACUAUGGGCCCAUCCUCUGAUUUAUAGUGACACCAGCCACCCCUGGAUACGAGAUCAACACAGAACCUUUGAAUAGCCAAUGAUAAGAUGACAUAGUCAUUGAUAUAAUGUAAUCCAAUGAACAUGAUGCGAUCCUCUGCUGCUAGUUAAUUACACCCUAAUUUUUUGGCUGUACACGCUGUACGCCACAUCUUAUUGGCUGUACACGCUGUACGCCACAUCUUAUUGGCUGUACACAUUGGACCUUUGGCAGGAACAUGUUGUCAUGUUAAUUUGCCUUCCUUCAAUAAAAGCUUUGCCACAGCC
Oncorhynchus kisutch (coho salmon) is the source of this 4993-nucleotide long non-coding RNA. RefSeq lists it as uncharacterized. Lineage: Eukaryota; Metazoa; Chordata; Actinopteri; Salmoniformes; Salmonidae. The transcript is spliced from 2 exons. The record is from RefSeq and is a predicted model, not a curated record.